UCGGGACGCCCGGCCAAGUUUCCCGUGCCCCUCGUCGUCUCGCUUCCCGGCCCGAGUUCCGGCCUCGAGUCCCCCGACAAUCGCGAGUGUCUCGUGCUUCUCAUUUCCGCGCCUUCUCACUCGCGCCAACUUACCGGCGAAUGUGCGAGUCGCUGCUAACCCCCGGUCUCUGCUAACGUGUAUACAUCUGGACUUUGAUUCCAACCAUUAUACUUCAAGAGUUUAUGAACAAAUACAAACUGUAAGUGUUUAAUGCAGGAAAUUGUGUACGUAAUCCUGGAAUUCUUCCUUCAACCGUAUGAUAUUGAUGAGCAGACUGACUGUUGCUAGCUCAAACUAUGUGUGAUACCUCUCAUUGACAAACGCGUUCCCAAAUGAUCGACAGAUUCGAUCUCACUAAGCCGCUCCAUUCGAUCUCCAAUUGUUGCGGGACGAUGUGAUCUCAAACAAAAUCAAGAUGGCCCGCCUUAAGCCGGUCAAGGUGAAUGUUCUCAUCCACGGCCACAAAUCCAAA
This is a non-coding RNA of Bemisia tabaci, 514 nucleotides long. The record is from RefSeq and is a predicted model, not a curated record. NCBI's taxonomy places the organism in Eukaryota, Metazoa, Arthropoda, Insecta, Hemiptera, Aleyrodidae.